Arachis ipaensis is the source of this 618-nucleotide non-coding RNA. The record is from RefSeq and is a predicted model, not a curated record. Lineage: Eukaryota; Viridiplantae; Streptophyta; Magnoliopsida; Fabales; Fabaceae.
AAGAAGAGAGGAGAAGAUUAAGAACGAUAUCGAAUCCCUUAUUCCUCUAAAAAUUCAAUCGUCCAUAACUUUCAAUCCGGAGCUCCGAUUGAUGAGCCAUCAGCAGCCACACGUUCGUCUCAAAAUUUUCUACAAAAUCCACUAAACAAUUUAGUAAGAGAGUCAUGUUUUUUCACCCAGUUCUCCCCUCUUCAAUUCAUGAUUUUGGGUUUUAGUAUUGAGAGAUUUUGUGAUUUUGAUGGUUUAGGGGUACUCUAGUGGUAGAUAAUCACUGGAUUUUUUCUAUUUGACUCGUGGGUAACGAUUGUGUAUCUUGUUGAAUUGGAGUUAAAUUGGUGGAUAUUGGAAGCUUGGAAUUGAAUCCUCAGAGCUGAAAAUUCAAUUGAUAAUGAGUUGGAGCUUGGAGAUUGAGCAACGGUGGAUAAUUGAGGUGUUUCGGGCUUAUGGAGGAAUCAGACAAGAUGCAUGACGUGAAGCACCGUACUGAGCAUUUUGGAGACUCUUGGGAGCAAAGAACUAUUUUGGGACUUGGUGUUUGUAUUUGGUUUAUGUUUAUAUAUGUGUAUAGAUUCUCCAUCUUGUAUAUAUAAAGAUUUUGACUCUCUUAGAGGUUGACUU